CCCUUAGAUGUUCUGGGCCGCACGCGCGCUACACUGACGAAUGCAACGAGCUUAUAACCUUGGCCGAAAGGUCUGGGUAAUCUCCAAAUUUCGUCGUGAUGGGGAUAGAUUAUUGCAAUUAUUAAUCUUCAACGAGGAAUGCCUAGUAAGGGCAAGUCAUCAGCUUGCGUUGAUUACGUCCCUGCCCUUUGUACACACCGCCCGUCGCUCCUACCGAUUGAAUGGUCCGGUGAAGCGUUCGGACCGUGGCCUUUGGACGGUUCGCCGUCUGUUGGCUGCGGGAAGUUCGUUAAACCUUAUCAUUUAGAGGAAGGAGAAGUCGUAACA
This 327-nucleotide ribosomal RNA is filed under the name uncultured eukaryote. RNAcentral's name for it is "partial 18S ribosomal RNA". It matches the Rfam family "Eukaryotic small subunit ribosomal RNA", at positions 1470 to 1796 of the family's 1831-position model. The record is from RNAcentral.